RNAcentral lists this ribosomal RNA (558 nucleotides) under Staphylococcus aureus. Its description in RNAcentral is "partial 23S ribosomal RNA". It matches the Rfam family "Bacterial large subunit ribosomal RNA", at positions 1649 to 2207 of the family's 2925-position model. The record is from RNAcentral. Lineage: Bacteria; Bacillati; Bacillota; Bacilli; Caryophanales; Staphylococcaceae.
CAAACCGACACAGGUAGUCAAGAUGAGAAUUCUAAGGUGAGCGAGCGAACUCUCGUUAAGGAACUCGGCAAAAUGACCCCGUAACUUCGGGAGAAGGGGUGCUCUUUAGGGUUAACGCCCAGAAGAGCCGCAGUGAAUAGGCCCAAGCGACUGUUUAUCAAAAACACAGGUCUCUGCUAAACCGUAAGGUGAUGUAUAGGGGCUGACGCCUGCCCGGUGCUGGAAGGUUAAGAGGAGUGGUUAGCUUCUGCGAAGCUACGAAUCGAAGCCCCAGUAAACGGCGGCCGUAACUAUAACGGUCCUAAGGUAGCGAAAUUCCUUGUCGGGUAAGUUCCGACCCGCACGAAAGGCGUAACGAUUUGGGCACUGUCUCAACGAGAGACUCGGUGAAAUCAUAGUACCUGUGAAGAUGCAGGUUACCCGCGACAGGACGGAAAGACCCCGUGGAGCUUUACUGUAGCCUGAUAUUGAAAUUCGGCACAGCUUGUACAGGAUAGGUAGGAGCCUUUGAAACGUGAGCGCUAGCUUACGUGGAGGCGCUGGUGGGAUACUACCCUA